UUCCCCGUGUUUCCUGAUCCUGCCCUGGGUCUGCAGUCAUAGUUCUGGAAACUUCUCUUGGGUCCAAGACUAGGAGGUUCCCCUAAGAUCGCAUGGCCCUGCCUCCUCCCUGUCCCCUCACAGGGCAUUUUCUUCCCACAGGUGGAAAAGGAGGGAGCUGCUCUCAGGCUGCGUGUAAGUGAUGGCGGUGGGCGUGUGGAGGAGCUCACCCACCCCAUAAUUCCUCUUGUCCCACAUCUCCUGCGGGCUCUGACCAGGUCUUUUUUUUUGUUCUACCCCAGCCAGCAACAGUGCCCAGGGCUCUGAUGAGUCUCUCAUCGCUUGUAAAGCCUGAGACAGCUGCCUGUGUGGGACUGAGAUGCAGGAUUUCUUCACACCUUUCCUUUGUGACUUCAAGAGCCUCUGGCAUCUCUUUCUGCAAAGGCAUCUGAAUGUGUCUGCGUUCCUGUUAGCAUAAUGUGAGGAGGUGGAGAGACAGCCCACCCCCGUGUCCACCGUGACCCCUGUCCCCACACUGACCUGUGUUCCCUCCCCGAUCAUCUUUCCUGUUCCAGAGAAGUGGGCUGGAUGUCUCCAUCUCUGUCUCAACUUUACGUGUACUGAGCUGCAACUUCUUACUUCCCUACUGAAAAUAAGAAUCUGAAUAUAAAUUUGUUUUCUCAAAUAUUUGCUAUGAGAGGUUGAUGGAUUAAUUAAAUAAGUCAAUUCCUGGAAGUUGAGAGAGCAAAUAAAGACCUGAGAACCUUCCAGAA
Molecule: long non-coding RNA, 752 nt
Filed under: Homo sapiens (human)
Lineage: Eukaryota; Metazoa; Chordata; Mammalia; Primates; Hominidae
Description: long non-coding RNA NONHSAT118052.2
Source: RNAcentral